UUUUUUUUAUUUUUUUAGAAUUUAUUACAUUUUAUUGGGUUACAGCCUCAGACUUAUUCAUGGAUGCUCAUUCAACUAUUGCUUGUGGACCAUGAUGUCAACUAAUAAAAUACCUUUAAAAAUUAUCCAUAGGGGCACCUGGGUGGCUAAGUCACUUAGGUGGGUAAGCAUCUGUCUUUGGUUCAGCUCAUGAUCUCAGGUCCUAGGAUAGAGCCGGUGUUGGGCUCCUUGCUCAGUAGGAAGUCUGCUUCUUCCUCUCCCUCUGCCCCCCACCUCACUUGUGCGUUCUCUCUCUCUCUCUCUCUCAAAUGAAUAAAUAAAUUGUAAAAAUAAGAUUAAAAUAAUAAAGAUUAUCUAUAAGUAAUACCACCACCACCAUUUUAGAACUUGAAAAAAUUACUAGUUUCCAUUCUCUACGUAAUUUUAAUUUACAACUAUAGGUUUUGAUAGUACUCCUAUUAGAAGAUUAAUUAAAAACAAAACAAAAUCCUGAUGUAACAAAUUUUAUUUGAAAAAAAAAAGUCUCUAUUUAGCUAAGCAAAGAUGUUAAUAUGUCUUUAGUCAUCCUUGUUCUGUAUUACAAUCAAGUCUUGUAAAAAGAGCAAUAAGAAUGAGUGAGACUUACCAAUAUACAGCCUUUCCCUACAAGAUGAUUAAUGGCUGGAGGAUGAAAAGUGUCAAACCCCUCAGGACUUCCCUAAAAGGAAAAGAAAAAGGGAAGGGAAUUCACAUUUUUGGUAACUAUUUGAUGCUGGCGAGAUAAAUCUAAGUCAGCUGAUGAGAUAAAAAAUGGAAAGCAAUAAUAGACACCUUAUAGAUUAAUGAAACUGACUAAUUAAUGCUAAGAAAUAAUACCAUCAAAAGGGUAUCCUUGGUAUAAAGUAUUGUAACCCAUUACAUUUAAAGAAUGGAUAUAAUUCCUAAGUUUUUCUCUGAUGAUAUAAUAAUCAGGCUAUAGGAUAUUAAUUUGAUUAACCACAAACCCAUUUUCUUUCCUUGAAAUGACAAUUUACCUUAUUAAAACAUAUUUUUUUCAAUUUUUAUAUGGUCUUUAAAUCUGUUUUUUCUUUUUUAUGUUGCAUAAGAAAAUGAGCCACUCACAACUUUUUUCUGUUAUGUUACUUGUUAUUCAGAUAUGUAUUCUCAUAGAUUCAGAAAACACCAUCUAUCAAAUUAUACUUAUAAGCUAUAGAACUCUUGUCCCACAUCCAAGUGCCUGUUGGACUCUAGAACAGUUAACAACUUCAAAUUAACAGCACAGCACUAAACAAAAUAUUUGAGGCCAUAACUAUAAUAAACUAUAAUGUACAUAAAAACCCUUUAAUAUAUCAGGAUAGAAAAUAUGCAAGUCCAUAGCUGAAUAUUGACCAGAUAAGUGAAGCUCAAAGAAAAGUCAUAUAUAGUUAAUAUGUCACCUAAUAUCACAUAUUUAACAACAUAAAAUUGAAUUCGGUAACAAAGAUCAGGUGGUUCCAUCAGCUGUUUAAUGAUUAUGUGGUAAUUUGCUACUGAGAUCUAAAGAGAAAUCUGCAAAAUUUCUGCCAUUUACUGACCACAGAGAAGUGGGCAUUUAGAGUUCAUCAUGAUUUCUCACAUCUGAUCCAAAUGUCCCCUCCUACACACACUGAAGCGUCUCUUCCUAGAAUGUCCCCUUACUACCUAUUCAAACAUUAUUCAUUCUUUCCAAACCACUCUAAACUCACCUCAUCAAUGGAGGCUUAAUUUUUUUGCAUUCAGAGGCUUGUUCCAAUACUAAUACAUAUUCCAUCAUAUAUUUUUCACAUACAUGCCUUCUUUCCUCACCUAAGUGUUUAGUUUAUUAGAACAGAAAUCAUGCUCUACAUUUCUGUGUGUAUUCAGAAAGUCAGAUUCUAGUAGAAUCCUAACCACUCAGCAUGGAAAAAAAAUAUAUAUGUUUUCAUUACUUAGUAAUUGGUGAGUCUUUCUACAUGCACUAUAUCUGAAGUGGUUAAUCUCAAAAAUUCCAUUGAGAGAUCAAGAAAUGACUUUAGGUUUUGAAGAGAGGAACUGCUAGUCUGUCUUGUUUGACAAACACUUCUUGCUCAGGACUAAAGAAACAAUAUCAGAAUUAUUUUAUUUUCUACAUGCCUUUAGUGGAUAAUGUUAAAAUCUUACAAGGUAUUGCUAUAACCUUCUGCUAAACUUUCAAAGAAUUUAGGAUCUAAAAAACCUAAUCAAAAUAACAUUGAGUUGUUAUGUGCCAGAUGUGUGCCUCAUCUAUACGUAUAUAUGUGUGUGUAUAUAUAUUAUGUUGAUAAUUUCUUUUCAUAUGUAAAUACAAACUAAUAAGGGAGAAACUACUGUUAAUUUCCCUUCUUUUCAGAUGAGGAACCUGAAACAGAAAAAUAUUGAGUUACUUCCCCAAAGCCUGCUAGUCAGUAAAUGGUAAAGAUGGGAUUUAAAUGCAAGCAGUGACUCAGAGCCUUUCAUAUUAACUUCAAUAAUAUGCUACCUUGUCUACAAGUCACAAAUGCUAGAUAAAUGAGAAGAGAAUGCCAGAAGGAAGGAAUGAGAUAGUUCAGUGUCAAAAUGUGAAGCUGACAUUUUUAAAAAGCCAGUAGCAAUUCCUAAAGCAUCUACUUUUCACACCCCUCCCCCCAUACCCCGGGGAGUCUUAGAAUCAAUGUUUUCAGGUAAAUGAGUCAAAAAGUUAUAGAACUUUAAUCUUGAUAUAGAAAUGUAUUUAAAAGUUUAGAAAAAAUAAACUUUCUUAGAUAUUUCAUGGGCACUCAACAUUAUCAAACGUCUUUUAUAUUAUAAUUUAAACUGUGCAAUUUAAAGUAAGAUUUAAAAUAGCUUUUAAAUUUGAUCUGUACUUUUACCUCUCUGUUCUUGAACAACUUAAGCAUUUUUAUAUUACCAUUAACAAAUACAGCAUAUGUAAGAGCUGAGUAUAAUUUUGAGCUUUUAGUGCUACAAAUUUCACAUUUCCCUAAAGGAGUCCUUUUCCCUAAAGCAUGCACAUUUCAUAGAAUAAAGUAAUAUUUAAUAAUGGUAGUGUUCAAAAUUAUGCAUGAAGAUACUCUUACUCUUUCUUUCUAGAAGCUGAUUAACAAGUUAUUAUGUCUUAUAAAAAACAUUUUCCUGAGAUUUAUAGUAUGCACUUAACUGUGAGGUAGAUAUCUUUGACAGAAUCCUCCUGUUUAAAGAUAAGGAAAAAUGGGUCUCAAGCAUGUUGAAUCACUGUCCAAUGUUACUCAAGUUGUUCUUAGAAGAGCUUGGGUUUUUUCCUUUGUCCUUUGAAACCAGGUUUCAUGUUGUUUCUUUUUGUUGUAUUUCUUUUGUGUACCAUUGUCAUCAUUUUCUUACACUUCAUAUUGGCUUUUACUUUUCACAGAAAAAGUGAAUAACAGACUCUCUCUCUCACACACACACAAAAUCAAGUAUGUUGUUCAAAAAUAUGCCAUUUGUGUUUAAGCCAUAAUUUACAUAAGAUCUGCCAUUAUAAAUUUAGAAGCUCACGAACUAUUCCUUGUGUGCACUAAUCAUUUUUUUAAAAAAAUUCUGUGAGCAUCAGUGUUACAAAUUAAAUCCUAUCUGAUGGUCACUAAUUUUAAAUCUUAGAACACUAAGGAUGAUUUUAAAAUAUGUUAUAAACAGAGGUGCCUGUGUGGCUCAGUCAUUUAGGCAUCUGACUCUCCAUCUCAGCUCAGGUCAUAAUCUCAUGUCAUGAGACUGAGCCCCGGGUCAGGCUGCACACUCAGAAGGGGGUCUACUUGGGCUUCUCUUCCUUUCCUCUCUUUCUCUCUCAAAUAAAAUUUCUUAAAAAAUCUUUUAAAAAUUGUUAUGUACACCAAUAGUUAAGGAGACCCAUAAUAUUGUGAAAGGGGAAAAUAUAUAAAGUAAGCCUUCUAUGAAAUAAAUUAUAGAGAUGAGGGAAUUUCUGAGGGUUAUAAAGGUACACAAUAAUAAAAAAUAUGUGCACUUCUUUUGAAGGUUCUUUAGUCUCUAGUAAUAAUUCUGUGAACAGAAAUGAAAGAUACAUUGCUUAAUAAAAUAUAUGUGUAAUGAAAAGACAAAUAUAAUGUUUCCAUAAAAGACUGUAAAAUAUAAUCAAGAAAGCAACUGGCCUCAUCCACAGGAAAAGCUAAAAACAGCUCUAUAUUUCAGUGAAAUUCUUUCUAAUAUAAUACUCAGUAUUAUUCAGCCUCUACUCCUCCCUCUAAAUCAUUUCUUCAGUCUCACUAUAAGCCCCCGUGCCUGAGUCCUCCAAGUGUAGCUCAGUAUCCUCCCUUUUUCCUCCUACCCUUCCAGGUUGGCCUCAGGUCAAUGUCUUCAUACACCCUCUCACCAAAACCCUCGUUACCUGGCCUUCCUGCAUUCUCAAAAUCACUAGACUAGCACAACUAUCCUUUUCUUCCAUUCUAGACCUUCUUUCUCCUAACACUGACAAUCUGAAAUUCUUACAAACAAAAUGCCUGAUUAAUGCUUUCUUUAUUAAGAAUAAUGUACUUUGUCCAAAAAUUUGGGUUGGAAAAGGAUUAGUGAGUUUAUAGCAGCAUGAUGACAUACUUCUGACAAUUAACUGUAGAGCUUUGCCCAAGAAUCAGAAAGCCUAGAUCUUCAUUUGUCUGUAUUUAAAAGGUAAGAGGAGAUGCAUGCCCACCUAAAUUGUGGGGUGGAAUAUGCUUUACCAAUGAUAAUUUCAGAUUAUUUUUUUUAGACUUAUUUAUUUAUUUAUUUGAGAGAGAGAGAGAGAGGGGGGGGCAAGGAGCAGAGGGAGAAGGAGAGAGACACAUAAGCAGAUUCCCCAGUGAGCAUGGAGGUGGACUCGGGGCUUGAUAUCACGAUCCUUAGAUCACUACCCAAGCCGAAACCAAGAGCUGGACAAUUAUCAGACUGUGCCACCCAGGUACCUCCCCCCUUUUAAAAGAUGUAUUUACUUUUUUGAGACAGAGUGAUCAUUUCAGAUUCUUGCUAGCAUGUAAUCUAAAAUAAACUACACUGUUAGAUAUUCGUAAAUGGCAGCUGGCAGCACACCCACUGCUACUCACAUUGCGUAUCUUCCAAAAAUAUCCAGAAAUAGAUAUUUUAAAAACAUGAUAAUUUACUAAUUCUUUUGAUAAGAACCAGAGGAGGAUAGGGCCAGCAGUGUACAUAUUAGUGACAUCUCUGCUUUCUAAGACAAAUGUGCAUCACUUUCCUUGACGCUGUGAGUCCCAAAUGGUAUCUGAUUGAUAGCAAGAUGAUAACUGCAAUGUUAUCACCAUGCCUAACUCACUGAUGUUUCUGACUGACAGGUGUAGCUAACAGUUCUAAGGCUCAUUUCUUUGCUGAACACCAAUGUUAUCACCAUUUAGGCAUCACAGCAGAUGAUACCCCAUUGUAAAAUGAGUCAACCAUAUAGAUAUCGAAUAGCAGCAGAAGAUAGUUAUGUAUGUUUAAGAAAUGUGACCAGGAUUCCAUGAACCAUACAAAUUUUUUGAAAUAGGAAAUUGAUAUAUUUACUUUAUAAUUAGUAGAUAAUUUAAUUAAGAUAAGUUUCCCAUGGGAAUAGACUAAUAAUAUUUGAAAGAGCAACAAUUUUUGCUGUGUUGGAAAGUGUGCUAAUUAUCUUACAUACAGAAAGAUAAUUUGUUUAAAAAAGAUGUUUUGUUUUGUUAAACUGCAACUGUAGUAGCUAAAAAAUAAUUACACUGAAAAGGACUCUAAAGACUGCUCCAAUAUCUCAAAAGAAAAAGAAAGCAAACAAAUGAAACACUUGUAAACUUCAUACCCUAUAUAACUAUAACUCUUCUCCAUUCUCUUCUCUGUUGUGCCCUCGCAAAACAAAUGGUUUACCUUUACUAACUCUACUUCCAAAUGUUCUCUUCAGAGAAGGAAGGUGGGAGGAUGGGGUGACUGGGUGAAAGGCACCAAGGAGGGCACUUGAUGUGAUGAGCACUGGGUAUUAUACUAUAUGUUGGCAAACUGAAUUUAAAUUAAAAAAAAAAAAAAAA
RNAcentral lists this long non-coding RNA (5960 nucleotides) under Canis lupus familiaris (dog). RNAcentral's name for it is "lncRNA (ENSCAFG00000051939.1)". Lineage: Eukaryota; Metazoa; Chordata; Mammalia; Carnivora; Canidae. The record is from RNAcentral.